Molecule: ribosomal RNA, 677 nt
Filed under: Escherichia sp.
Lineage: Bacteria; Pseudomonadati; Pseudomonadota; Gammaproteobacteria; Enterobacterales; Enterobacteriaceae
Description: bacterial SSU rRNA
Rfam family: Bacterial small subunit ribosomal RNA
Source: RNAcentral
UGGCUCAGAUUGAACGCUGGCGGCAGGCCUAACACAUGCAAGUCGAACGGUAACAGGAAGAAGCUUGCUUCUUUGCUGACGAGUGGCGGACGGGUGAGUAAUGUCUGGGAAACUGCCUGAUGGAGGGGGAUAACUACUGGAAACGGUAGCUAAUACCGCAUAACGUCGCAAGACCAAAGAGGGGGACCUUCGGGCCUCUUGCCAUCGGAUGUGCCCAGAUGGGAUUAGCUUGUUGGUGGGGUAACGGCUCACCAGGCGACGAUCCCUAGCUGGUCUGAGAGGAUGACCAGCCACACUGGAACUGAGACACGGUCCAGACUCCUACGGGAGGCAGCAGUGGGGAAUAUUGCACAAUGGGCGCAAGCCUGAUGCAGCCAUGCCGCGUGUAUGAAGAAGGCCUUCGGGUUGUAAAGUACUUUCAGCGGGGAGGAAGGGAGUAAAGUUAAUACCUUUGCUCAUUGACGUUACCCGCAGAAGAAGCACCGGCUAACUCCGUGCCAGCAGCCGCGGUAAUACGGAGGGUGCAAGCGUUAAUCGGAAUUACUGGGCGUAAAGCGCACGCAGGCGGUUUGUUAAGUCAGAUGUGAAAUCCCCGGGCUCAACCUGGGAACUGCAUCUGAUACUGGCAAGCUUGAGUCUCGUAGAGGGGGGUAGAAUUCCAGGUGUAGCGGUGAAAU